This 422-nucleotide ribosomal RNA is filed under the name uncultured bacterium. RNAcentral describes it as "bacterial SSU rRNA". It matches the Rfam family "Bacterial small subunit ribosomal RNA", at positions 355 to 774 of the family's 1533-position model. The record is from RNAcentral.
UGAGGAAUAUUGGGCAAUGCCCGCAAGGGUGACCCAGCAACGCCGCGUGGAGGAUGAAUGUCGUAAGAUUGUAAACUCCUGUUAGAGGGGAAGAAUAGUACCGGUUGGACCGGUAUAUGACUGUACCCUCAGAGAAAGCCCCGGCUAACUACGUGCCAGCAGCCGCGGUAAUACGUAGGGGGCAAGCGUUGUCCGGAUUUACUGGGUGUAAAGGGCGCGCAGGCGGGAUAAAAAGUCAGUGGUGAAAUCCUACAGCUUAACUGUAGAACUGCCUGUGAUACUUUUAUUCUUGAGUUCGGGAGAGAGAGACGGAAUUCCAGGUGUAGUGGUGAAAUACGUAGAUAUCUGGAAGAACACCAGUUGCGAAGGCGGUCUCUUGGUCCGAUACUGACGCUGAGGCGCGAAAGCGUGGGGAGCAAACA